Molecule: ribosomal RNA, 461 nt
Filed under: uncultured bacterium
Lineage: Bacteria
Description: partial 16S ribosomal RNA
Rfam family: Bacterial small subunit ribosomal RNA
Source: RNAcentral
CCUACGGGUGGCAGCAGUGAGGAAUAUUGGUCAAUGGACGAGAGUCUGAACCAGCCAAGUAGCGUGAAGGAUGAAUGCCCUAUGGGUCGUAAACUUCUUUUAUAAAGGAAUAAAACGAGGGACGCGUGCCUUUUUGCAUGUACUUUAUGAAUAAGGAUCGGCUAACUCCGUGCCAGCAGCCGCGGUAAUACGGAGGAUCCGAGCGUUAUCCGGAUUUAUUGGGUUUAAAGUGAGCGUAGAUGGGUUGUUAAGUCAGUUGGGCAAGUUUGUGGCUCAACCGUAAAAUUGCAAUGGAUACUGGCAGGCUUGAGUACAGUUGAGGUAGGCGGAAUUCGGGGUGUAGCGGUGGAAUGCUUAGAUAUCACGAAGAACCCCGAGUGCGAAGGCAGCUUAGUAAACUGUGAAUGACAUUGAUGCUCGAAAGUGUGGGUAUCAAAAAGGAUUAGAUACCCCUGUAGUUC